This 73-nucleotide transfer RNA is filed under the name bacterium. RNAcentral's name for it is "tRNA-Lys". It matches the Rfam family "tRNA". Rfam says of the family: Transfer RNA (tRNA) molecules are approximately 80 nucleotides in length. Their secondary structure includes four short double-helical elements and three loops (D, anti-codon, and T loops). Further hydrogen bonds mediate the characteristic L-shaped molecular structure. tRNAs have two regions of fundamental functional importance: the anti-codon, which is responsible for specific mRNA codon recognition, and the 3' end, to which the tRNAs corresponding amino acid is attached (by aminoacyl-tRNA synthetases). tRNAs cope with the degeneracy of the genetic code in two manners: having more than one tRNA (with a specific anti-codon) for a particular amino acid; and 'wobble' base-pairing, i.e. permitting non-standard base-pairing at the 3rd anti-codon position. RNAcentral also lists the same sequence under 1 other name. The record is from RNAcentral.
GGGGGUGUAGCUCAGGCGGUAGAGCACCGCCCUUUUAAGGCGAUGGUCGAAGGUUCGAGUCCUUCCACCCUCA